CACACAGUAAACGAUAAUCACUGGGUGUCGGGUUCGCAUAGGAUUCGGUGCCGUAGCUAACGCGUUAAGUGAUUCGCCUGGGGAGUACGAUCGCAAGGUUGAAACUCAAAGGAAUUGACGGGGGCCCGCACAAGCGGUGGAGCAUGUGGUUUAAUUCGAAGCAACGCGAAGAACCUUACCCGGUCUUGACAUCCGAGGGAUCCCUCAGAGAUGGGGGAGUGCCGGCUAGCCGGAACUUCGAGACAGGUGC
RNAcentral lists this ribosomal RNA (250 nucleotides) under uncultured bacterium. RNAcentral describes it as "partial 16S ribosomal RNA". It matches the Rfam family "Bacterial small subunit ribosomal RNA", at positions 796 to 1041 of the family's 1533-position model. RNAcentral also lists the same sequence under 1 other name. The record is from RNAcentral.